GGUUCCUUAGCUCAGUUGGUUAGAGCGUGGUGCUAAUACGACGUCUAAACCGUCCAAAAACGCCAAGGUCGAGUGCGUCUUCUCCUCCCAAUUGUUCCCGCGAACGUUGUGCUAAUAGUGUUACAGGGGUUCGACCCCCUUAGGGACCA
This 149-nucleotide transfer RNA is filed under the name Cercospora zeae-maydis SCOH1-5. It matches the Rfam family "tRNA". From Rfam's summary of the family: Transfer RNA (tRNA) molecules are approximately 80 nucleotides in length. Their secondary structure includes four short double-helical elements and three loops (D, anti-codon, and T loops). Further hydrogen bonds mediate the characteristic L-shaped molecular structure. tRNAs have two regions of fundamental functional importance: the anti-codon, which is responsible for specific mRNA codon recognition, and the 3' end, to which the tRNAs corresponding amino acid is attached (by aminoacyl-tRNA synthetases). tRNAs cope with the degeneracy of the genetic code in two manners: having more than one tRNA (with a specific anti-codon) for a particular amino acid; and 'wobble' base-pairing, i.e. permitting non-standard base-pairing at the 3rd anti-codon position. Lineage: Eukaryota; Fungi; Ascomycota; Dothideomycetes; Mycosphaerellales; Mycosphaerellaceae. The record is from Rfam by way of RNAcentral.